This 408-nucleotide ribosomal RNA is filed under the name uncultured bacterium. Its description in RNAcentral is "bacterial SSU rRNA". It matches the Rfam family "Bacterial small subunit ribosomal RNA", at positions 930 to 1349 of the family's 1533-position model. The record is from RNAcentral.
UAGCGGAGCGUGUGGUUUAAUUCGAUGCAACACGAAGAACCUUACCAAGGUUUGACAUGCUGGAAGUAGAGAACCGAAAGGCCAUCGACCUGUUAAGUCAGGAGCCUGCACAGGUGCUGCAUGGCUGUCGUCAGCUCGUGCCGUGAGGUGUUGGGUUAAGUCCCCCAACGAGCGUAACCCUUAUUGCCAGUUAUUUUCUCUGGCGAGACUGCCCCGCAAAACGGGGAGGAAGGUGGGGAUGACGUCAAGUCAGCACGGCCCUUAUACCUUGGGCUACACACACGCUACAAUGGACGGUACAAUGGGUUGCAAUGGAGCGAUUCGGAGCUAAUCCAAAAAGUUGUUCUCAGUUCGGAUCGCAGGCUGAAACCCGCCUGCGUGAAGUCGGAGUUGCUAGUAACCGCAUAA